This 501-nucleotide ribosomal RNA is filed under the name uncultured bacterium. RNAcentral's name for it is "partial 16S ribosomal RNA". It matches the Rfam family "Bacterial small subunit ribosomal RNA", at positions 30 to 523 of the family's 1533-position model. The record is from RNAcentral.
AUUGAACGCUGGCGGCAUGCCUUACACAUGCAAGUCGAACGGCAGCACGGGUGCUUGCACCUGGUGGCGAGUGGCGAACGGGUGAGUAAUACAUCGGAACGUACCUUAUCGUGGGGGAUAACGCAGCGAAAGCUGUGCUAAUACCGCAUACGCCCUGAGGGGGAAAGCGGGGGAUCGCAAGACCUCGCGCGAUUAGAGCGGCCGAUGCCUGAUUAGCUUGUUGGUGGGGUAAAAGCCCACCAAGGCGACGAUCAGUAGCUGGUCUGAGAGGACGAUCAGCCACACUGGGACUGAGACACGGACCAGACUCCUACGGGAGGCAGCAGUGGGGAAUUUUGGACAAUGGGGGUAACCCUGAUCCAGCAAUGCCGCGUGAGUGAAGAAGGCCUUCGGGUUGUAAAGCUCUUUUGUCAGGGAAGAAACACCGGCUCUAACACAGUCCGGGAAUGACGGUACCUGAAGAAUAAGCACCGGCUAACUACGUGCCAGCCGCCGCGGUAA